Molecule: ribosomal RNA, 200 nt
Filed under: uncultured prokaryote
Description: partial 16S ribosomal RNA
Rfam family: Bacterial small subunit ribosomal RNA
Source: RNAcentral
ACGUCAAGUCCUCAUGACCCUUACGGGCUGGGCUACACACGUGCUACAAUGGCGGUGACAGUGGGAUGCGAUGGGGCGACCCUGAGCUAAUCUCCAAAAACCGUCUCAGUUCGGAUUGCAGUCUGCAACUCGACUGCAUGAAGUUGGAAUCGCUAGUAAUCGUGGAUCAGCAUGCCACGGUGAAUACGUUCCCGGGCCUU